GACGAACGCUGGCGGCGUGCUUAACACAUGCAAGUCGAACGGAAAGGCCCUGCUUUUGUGGGGUGCUCGAGUGGCGAACGGGUGAGUAACACGUGAGUAACCUGCCCUUGACUUUGGGAUAACUUCAGGAAACUGGGGCUAAUACCGGAUAGGAGCUCCUGCUGCAUGGUGGGGGUUGGAAAGUUUCGGCGGUUGGGGAUGGACUCGCGGCUUAUCAGCUUGUUGGUGGGGUAGUGGCUUACCAAGGCUUUGACGGGUAGCCGGCCUGAGAGGGUGACCGGCCACAUUGGGACUGAGAUACGGCCCAGACUCCUACGGGAGGCAGCAGUGGGGAAUAUUGCACAAUGGGCGGAAGCCUGAUGCAGCAACGCCGCGUGCGGGAUGACGGCCUUCGGGUUGUAAACCGCUUUCGCCUGUGACGAAGCGUGAGUGACGGUAAUGGGUAAAGAAGCACCGGCUAACUACGUGCCAGCAGCCGCGGUGAUACGUAGGGUGCGAGCGUUGUCCGGAUUUAUUGGGCGUAAAGGGCUCGUAGGUGGUUGAUCGCGUCGGAAGUGUAAUCUUGGGGCUUAACCCUGAGCGUGCUUUCGAUACGGGUUGACUUGAGGAAUUUAGGGGAGAAUGGAAUUCCUGGUGGAGCGGUGGAAUGCGCAGAUAUCAGGAGGAACACCAGUGGCGAAGGCGGUUCUCUGGGCCUUUCCUGACGCUGAGGAGCGAAAGCGUGGGGAGCGAACAGGCUUAGAUACCCUGGUAGUCCACGCUGUAAACGGUGGGUACUAGGUGUGGGGUCCAUUCCACGGGUUCCGUGCCGUAGCUAACGCUUUAAGUACCCCGCCUGGGGAGUACGGCCGCAAGGCUAAAACUCAAAGGAAUUGACGGGGCCCCGCACAAGCGGCGGAGCAUGCGGAUUAAUUCGAUGCAACGCGUAGAACCUUACCUGGGUUUGACAUGGAUCGGGAGUGCUCAGAGAUGGGUGUGCCUCUUUUGGGGUCGGUUCACAGGUGGUGCAUGGCUGUCGUCAGCUCGUGUCGUGAGAUGUUGGGUUAAGUCCCGCAACGAGCGCAACCCUUGUUCACUGUUGCCAGCACGUUAUGGUGGGGACUCAGUGGAGACCGCCGGGGUCAACUCGGAGGAAGGUGGGGAUGACGUCAAGUCAUCAUGCCCCUUAUGUCCAGGGCUUCACGCAUGCUACAAUGGCUGGUACAGAGAGUGGCGAGCCUGUGAGGGUGAGCGAAUCUCGGAAAGCCGGUCUCAGUUCGGAUUGGGGUCUGCAACUCGACCUCAUGAAGUCGGAGUCGCUAGUAAUCGCAGAUCAGCAACGCUGCGGUGAAUAAAUUCCCGGGGCU
This 1346-nucleotide ribosomal RNA is filed under the name uncultured bacterium. Its description in RNAcentral is "partial 16S ribosomal RNA". It matches the Rfam family "Bacterial small subunit ribosomal RNA", at positions 28 to 1381 of the family's 1533-position model. The record is from RNAcentral.